This 2388-nucleotide long non-coding RNA is filed under the name Glycine max (soybean). RNAcentral's name for it is "long non-coding RNA (GMAX_LNC003916)". Lineage: Eukaryota; Viridiplantae; Streptophyta; Magnoliopsida; Fabales; Fabaceae. The record is from RNAcentral.
UAAAAGUAAACUUUAAUUUGUUCUUUUUUUUCGUUAGAAUGAAAAAUGUUUUAUUACAAAAGCAAGAAAAUCAACACUAACACCUGUAUGUAGACUUCACAUAUACUUUAAGGGGGAAGGGGUUUUCACACAAGUUCAAAGUAGUGACAAUUACAAAAAACCCAUAAUAGAAUUCUAGUUUAAAGAGGUUUUGUUGAAUUUAAAAGGGAGCUCAAAGAGCUUCCAGUGACAAAAGAAAGACCAGAGUCUAAACUUCUUACAGAAAUAUAUUCUCUGCCCAGUUAUAAGCCUAACAAACCACAAUUUGCCCAGUUAAUUAACCUGCAAAAAAACAAAAAACCAUUAAUGCACCAGGAUUUGGAAGAGAAAAAUAUCUAAUUUAUAUAACCGAAUCAGGUUACAUGGUAUCAGUCAAAAGAAAAAAUGAAUAAAAAACUGAAUUCUAUUAAUAUCUACUAGAAAUUUACUAGUUCUAAUUUAACUAGAGAAGAAGCAUAAUUAUUUGAUAAUGUGCGCACAAGUCUAUAACUACAAUUCAAUAAUCAUAAUUUUACAAGCAAAUUUUGCUUCGUCAAUUCAUUGAACGCAGGGAUAUGGGGUGAUAGGUAUCAUUGUCCAAGUAACGAAAGAAUGCCGAAUAUGGUAAACCCAACUUCAUUAUCAUGUGUUAAGUAUCCAAUGGAUGGGGACUUCCUUGAAAGCCCAUAAAUUAUGCAUGCAUUUCAGAAAUCGUUCAAUUGCUAAUCGUCAGAAUUCAAAAUGGAAUAAUUGACUUAUAUAGUUAUAUGUUUAUACCUGUAAUGUUAACUUCUUUUUCACGGUUUAUGCCUUCAAGUUAUGUUAGUUGAGGGUUGGGAUAAGGGAUUCGGGUCCUAGGUUCAAAAGUUACUAAGGUCUAAAGAGUAAUAAGAUAAGUGGCACAUCUCUAAAAGGCAUUUUACAAUUAAAUGAUAUUAUAUAUCAACAGAAACUUGAAAAAAAAUAGUAAGAUGGAACCUACGUACAUUGCCAAUAACAUCCAUACCAAAUUCCAACAAAUAUUGAAUGAAUUACUAGUAGUAUUUUAAGGUCAAAUUAGUGCAGACUAUUCUCAAAAAUCAGGAAUUGAUGAUUACUAUUUCUUCUUCAAUAUUAGAUGUUAACACUAUGUAAUCCUUAAAAAUCAGGAACUCAAUUAAGCAAAUUAUUUGUGUUUGUAGUUAUGCAGAUUGAAAUUUACUUCUUUCUAAUGACAACUUACAAUAAGGGCCAUAGGAUAAUCUCCCUCUUGAUGUGAUGCAUACCAAUAACGAAGGAGAAAACUCCUUCCUCAACAGUGUGCUUGAAAACUUUCAACAUGCUUGAUCGAUAAGCCUGCCAUGGUGGGGGUGUAAAACAAAAGCAGACAUGAUAUUUAAGUGCAAAUCAAGUUAUUCAAAGAGAAUUCGAACUAAAUGUGUAUCACAAACAAUAGUUAAAUGUAAUAGAACAUAAAACAUUAACUUUUCCAGUAUUUCUCAAGCAAUAACAAAUUUGUUUUUGUGGUAAUGCAAGGACAAGGUAUGCAAGAAAAAAAUUGAAAUUACUGAGAUUGACCAAAUGAGAAUGUGACUAGUAACAUGCUGUCAUGAUUAAGAUGGUUUCCUAUCAUAGAUACACCUAGUGUCAUACCCCUUACAAUCUCGAAUCUUAACUAAUGUUUAUUUUGUGUUUCAAAUUAAAAAUUAGUGAAGAUUUGUUAGUUACUCACAAAAGUUAUCAUAUCAGCAGUACUCUGUUUGGUGUCUUCUGCAUCUAGUCCACUCUGACAAAAGCAAAAACAGUUCCAAAAGAAUUAGUACGAUUAACAUAGAAUUAGCAAUACUGUCAAGUGUCAAUUAAAGCAUUCAGUACCUCUAUUAGUUUUGGAUCAAGAGCACAAAAGAAGCUUGUUCAGUAAUUCUGUCAGGUCAGACCAAAAUGCAAUAUAUUUAAUUAGAAGAUAGUAUAAAAUUGGAUAACAGACAAUAGAACAAGCAAAAUGUAUUAAUGAUGUCUUCUCUUUUGCUAUUGGCACAACCAGAUCACAACUUUAGUGCAAAAGUAAGUGUCUGAGUCCAACAAGUAGAAGAUGCUCUGCUUUGAACUAAAAUGUAUAGCAUAUAUAUGCAUUCAUUUAUUAGAAAUAGAUUUUGAAAAUUCACCCAAAUCAUGCCUAGAAAGAAAUUAGAGGAUUUAUCAAAAUAUAGAAGCCAAAUGCCAAAGCUUAAUAAGUUCAUGAGGCAUUACCUUAUUGACCUUUGGCAUCAAGGGUAAAGAAGGACUAUGCUGGAAAUAUACCUUCCACAGUAGAAUUGUCACAAAAUAAACAGAUACCAGACCUUGAAUUUUCAAGUUACAUAAUCUUACAAGGAUCAAAAUUAAAAAUGC